RNAcentral lists this non-coding RNA (29 nucleotides) under Mus musculus (house mouse). The record is from RNAcentral. Lineage: Eukaryota; Metazoa; Chordata; Mammalia; Rodentia; Muridae.
UCCAACUUUCUGUUCUCCUUCCUUAGUGU